AUCACUUCUCGGCCUUUUGGCUAAGAUCAAGUGUAAAAGUUCUGACUAGUCUUAUUUAUAGUUACAAACCUAAAAACUAUAAAGAGUUAUUAUAAUUUAACUUGGCUGAAUGAGUGCACUAUGGUUUAUAAACAAAUUGUCUUCUGUGUUUUUAUCCAUCAGUC
RNAcentral lists this small nuclear RNA (164 nucleotides) under Fukomys damarensis (Damara mole-rat). RNAcentral describes it as "U2 spliceosomal RNA". It matches the Rfam family "U2 spliceosomal RNA". From Rfam's summary of the family: U2 is a small nuclear RNA (snRNA) component of the spliceosome (involved in pre-mRNA splicing). Lineage: Eukaryota; Metazoa; Chordata; Mammalia; Rodentia; Bathyergidae. The record is from Rfam by way of RNAcentral.